RNAcentral lists this ribosomal RNA (253 nucleotides) under uncultured bacterium. Its description in RNAcentral is "partial 16S ribosomal RNA". It matches the Rfam family "Bacterial small subunit ribosomal RNA", at positions 524 to 776 of the family's 1533-position model. The record is from RNAcentral.
UACGUAGGGUGCGAGCGUUAAUCGGAAUUACUGGGCGUAAAGCGUGCGCAGGCGGCGCGUUAAGACAGGUGUGAAAGCCCCGAGCUUAACUUGGGAAUUGCGCUUGUGACUGGCGAGCUGGAGUGUGGCAGAGGGAGGUGGAAUUCCACGUGUAGCAGUGAAAUGCGUAGAGAUGUGGAGGAACACCGAUGGCGAAGGCAGCCUUCUGGGCCAACACUGACGCUCAUGCACGAAAGCGUGGGGAGCAAACAGG